Molecule: transfer RNA, 74 nt
Filed under: Stenotrophomonas sp.
Lineage: Bacteria; Pseudomonadati; Pseudomonadota; Gammaproteobacteria; Lysobacterales; Lysobacteraceae
Also listed under: 4 other names
Description: tRNA-Gln
Rfam family: tRNA
About the family: Transfer RNA (tRNA) molecules are approximately 80 nucleotides in length. Their secondary structure includes four short double-helical elements and three loops (D, anti-codon, and T loops). Further hydrogen bonds mediate the characteristic L-shaped molecular structure. tRNAs have two regions of fundamental functional importance: the anti-codon, which is responsible for specific mRNA codon recognition, and the 3' end, to which the tRNAs corresponding amino acid is attached (by aminoacyl-tRNA synthetases). tRNAs cope with the degeneracy of the genetic code in two manners: having more than one tRNA (with a specific anti-codon) for a particular amino acid; and 'wobble' base-pairing, i.e. permitting non-standard base-pairing at the 3rd anti-codon position.
Source: RNAcentral
AGCCCCGUCGCCAAGCGGUAAGGCACCUGACUCUGACUCAGGCAUCGGAGGUUCGAAUCCUUCCGGGGCUGCCA